UGAGUGCUAAGUGUUAGAGGGUUUCCGCCCUUUAGUGCUGCAGCUAACGCAUUAAGCACUCCGCCUGGGGAGUACGGCCGCAAGGCUGAAACUCAAAGGAAUUGACGGGGGCCCGCACAAGCGGUGGAGCAUGUGGUUUAAUUCGAAGCAACGCGAAGAACCUUACCAGGUCUUGACAUCCUCUGACAACCCUAGAGAUAGGGCUUUCCCCUUCGGGGGACAGAGUGACAGGUGGUGCAUGGUUGUCGUCAGCUCGUGUCGUGAGAUGUUGGGUUAAGUCCCGCAACGAGCGCAACCCUUGAUCUUAGUUGCCAGCAUUCAGUUGGGCACUCUAAGGUGACUGCCGGUGACAAACCGGAGGAAGGUGGGGAUGACGUCAAAUCAUCAUGCCCCUUAUGACCUGGGCUACACACGUGCUACAAUGGAUGGUACAAAGGGCUGCAAACCUGCGAAGGUAAGCGAAUCCCAUAAAGCCAUUCUC
RNAcentral lists this ribosomal RNA (481 nucleotides) under Peribacillus simplex. RNAcentral's name for it is "bacterial SSU rRNA". It matches the Rfam family "Bacterial small subunit ribosomal RNA", at positions 810 to 1289 of the family's 1533-position model. Lineage: Bacteria; Bacillati; Bacillota; Bacilli; Caryophanales; Bacillaceae. The record is from RNAcentral.